This is a non-coding RNA of Hydra vulgaris (swiftwater hydra), 315 nucleotides long. NCBI's taxonomy places the organism in Eukaryota, Metazoa, Cnidaria, Hydrozoa, Anthoathecata, Hydridae. The record is from RefSeq and is a predicted model, not a curated record.
GAUUUGUCAUCUUUAGUUUGUGUGAUGUCAAUCUCAAAUGUUUUAAAAAUUCCAUUGAAACUCUUUUAUCCUACUACAGGAGAUGCAUGUUUAGAAUAUUUAUUUAGAAGUACAUUGUACCCACAGACUUUUAAGAAAUUUAACGAACCCUAUCAAAUAAUUUACUUAUUGCUUUACAAUGUUUAAUCAAAGAAAGAAAUUCCAGACAAUCUUACACAUGGGAAAAAUACAUUAUUUCAAGCCUAAUCAUUUUGUCCCUCUAGUAUCUAUUAUAAGCACUCAGCCAGAGUUUCGAAAUAUUUUAGUUCGUACCCA